CGUAGGGUGCAAGCGUUAAUCGGAAUUACUGGGCGUAAAGCGUGCGCAGGCGGUUGUGUAAGACAGGUGUGAAAUCCCCCGGGCUUAACCUGGGAAUUGCAUUUGUGACUGCACGGCUAGAGUGUGUCAGAGGGGGGUAGAAUUCCACGUGUAGCAGUGAAAUGCGUAGAUAUGUGGAGGAAUACCGAUGGCGAAGGCAGCCCCCUGGGAUAACACUGACGCUCAUGCACGAAAGCGUGGGGAGCAAACAGGAUUAGAUACCCUGGUAGUCCACGCCCUAAACGAUGUCUACUAGUUGUCGGGUCUUAAUUGACUUGGUAACGCAGCUAACGCGUGAAGUAGACCGCCUGGGGAGUACGGUCGCAAGAUUA
Molecule: ribosomal RNA, 371 nt
Filed under: uncultured organism
Description: bacterial SSU rRNA
Rfam family: Bacterial small subunit ribosomal RNA
Source: RNAcentral